CAGGAAAUAGUUUAUUAAAAAUUUUAGUUUUGGAGACUAGAGAAGAGUUAUUACUCUUUCCUGA
RNAcentral lists this transfer RNA (64 nucleotides) under Temnoscheila virescens. RNAcentral's name for it is "tRNA-Pro". The record is from RNAcentral. Lineage: Eukaryota; Metazoa; Arthropoda; Insecta; Coleoptera; Trogossitidae.